This is a long non-coding RNA of Gasterosteus aculeatus aculeatus (three-spined stickleback), 2976 nucleotides long. The record is from Ensembl. Lineage: Eukaryota; Metazoa; Chordata; Actinopteri; Perciformes; Gasterosteidae.
CACACACAGACCCUGGAUCACCAAAGCUCCUCUGACAAGGUGCUCUAUUGGGAUUACUACUAGUACUGGUCUUGCUUGUGGACUACUUUGCUGGUGGUGGAACUGGAAUGAGAUAACAUACUCGAUAACUCGGCCAAUGUGAGCAGACGCUGGUCCUGAGAGAAAAACACGAUAGAUGUUGAGGCGACAUCAUCAGAAAAUCAGAAACAUAUUUGCGCAUGUUGGCGACAGAAGUGGCACAUCACCCCGGCUGUCAAACCAGGUACCAAGCAUUCAAACAUUCAAUUCAAACCGUUUUUCUACAACAUUUUUCGGGUUGUUUCACUUUCGGUUGUCAGAUUCUAAAUUCCAAAAGAAGCCUACAGAAUCCGGAUGAGGUCUCGACUGCUCCAGGGUAGCAGCAGGUGUUUCAAUUAAUCCGGUGACCCAGUCAAAUGGAGACUCUCCGCCGAUUGCGGCCAUAGUCACUCGUAGUGACUGGUGUAAAUGGUUGGCUGAGAUUACAAACACAGGUGCGGGUGUGAUAAAAAAUUGAGAGCUCUCAGAGCGUGGAAGUACCAAGCAGAAUCCCCGGUGCUGCUACCGGACUGCUGCAGAGAUCCAAGGAGAGGUGUGAGGAGUUCUACAACGCCUGGAUCGGCAACGUAGUUGCUAGACAGUAUUACAGCCUCUGGAUACUUCUUCCACCACUGGUUUUGACAUCUUGUAAGACGGGCGACUCAACCUUUCCAGUUAGCUGAUUGGGGACCAGCUGGCUGUACAGUUCUCAGGUUAGAAAUCAGAGCGACUUUGUCUUUCUAUCUGUUUCUCAUAUGUUUGCCUGUUUAUAUGUUCAAUGUUUCACUUGUUGGCUUCGGGCUUCAAAUUGGAUUUGUGAAUAAGAAAAGUCUGAGGAGAUUCAUUUGACAUAAAGACACAAUCCCGCACAACAGAAGCACAUUAAAACCUUGUGAAGCCAUUUGGUCGUCAUUGCACAUUCCACCGGAGUUCUCUGGCUCGGGGGGGAGGGACCCUGACACACCCUGUGGGAACGGAGGGAGGGAGGAGGCGUGUAAGUCUGCCCCCACGCUAAUGCUUUGGUUCAUGACUGAAACGUUUUUCCUCAUCUGAACUGAGGAGGAGCCUAAUGUGCAGGGUUGGUCUGUUUGGGGUAAGUGGACUGUACAUGUGUCCUCCGACCACUCAAAGCACUUUAACACUACCGAACACACUUGUGACAGGGCCCAUCAGGUAAUUUGGGGUUGAGUGUCUUUCCCCAAGGACAUGGACUAGCGGUGCCAGGGUUCGAACCACUGGUCCUCUGAUUGAAGGACACUACUCUACUGCUGAGUCUUGCCAACUCAAACAACUCAAAUACCACUAACAAUAAGAUGUUACUUUUGACAUGGUGAAAAGCUAAAGCAACUUUAUGACGAAAAAGCCGUGAGCAGAAGCCUUUUAUCAGUUAAUCUACCUUUUAUUUAUUACACUUGUCCGCAACAAGAAACAAUAUACAUGUAUAUGAUACAACACAUACCACAAGAAUUCCAUAUAAAUACUAUAUGCACACUCUUGUGUCUGGAGCUUGAUGUUCUGCCCCAAGUUACCAAAAGCGCCAAAAUGACUUUGUAGGAAGUUAGAGUUUAAUGGCAGUGUACCAAGCAAAACCAGCUUGUGUUCAUUUCCUGGUAUGACCUGUUGGUGAAUCUGCUUUUUCCAUUCUGAGGAGACAGACGGGGGAUGGGAGUGUGUGGUGUGUACAUGUCUGACUGAACGAGCAAAAAGAAGAGAGGACGGAGAAAAAGUCCAACACAGACAAAGUGGAGAAAAGGAGUGAGAGAGACGGAUCUUCUGCCCAGAAUGAACAUCGGUCGUCAUCCAAAGGCAGCCAAUCUGAGACCUACUCCCCUGCCUCACACACACACACACAGCGGCUCCACAUCAAUGGCUGAGGAACUUUUCUUUUUGGUCAAAGCUCCUCCCACUCUUCCUCCCUCUUUCUGAGGUUGAUACAGUCCAGACCAGCAGAGAACCCACCCAGACACACACCUCCCUUUUGUGAUCGCUAUUUCUCUCUCAUAUUUUAACAUUAACUAUCAUGCUGAGCCCUGUGUAAAAAAUAUGAAAAAUAAACAGUGUCCUGAGGCUACGAGCAGGGGGAGAUUUCCGUUUUUUUCAAUUGCUAAAAAGCAUUGCUGAAACCAUACUUUUAAACCUCUUCACAUAUUCUUCAUUAUCAAUAUUAAUUUGGGCCAAACAGUUAAUGAAACCUCCAAAACAACUAAUUUGUUUUCGUGCACAUCUGAAAGGUUUCAGCCUCUCCCUCCUCUCUGAGCCAAACGUUGGGUCCUAAAACACAACAGUUACUGUAUUGUAACAGGUUUCAACAUUUAGACUAUGUAUUGUACUGUAAUAUGUAUCAUCUCACUUGUUUUGCUGGAAAAUUUGUACUAUUGACGCAACUGUUGAGCAGUGCAGAUUUGGUUGCACCCUUUGACCGGCCUCUCAAAGUGAGACCAGUGAGACCAGUGAGACACAGAAUUGUCUGCUGUGAUCCAUAUUUCUAAACAAAAUCAGUUCCAAGCUAUUGGCUUUUACUGAAACAUGGUGAUGAGAGUAAAGCAGGACACCUGGAUCAGCUUUGAGCUAAAAUUGCAAUUAGCUUGGACUGAUUUUUCUUUCUAUUUUCUAUAUUUCUAAAAUAAUUACUGCAGAAUUUUUUGAAAUUUGUCAUCAUUCUGAUUUGAAUGUGUUUUUAUCAGUUGAUUUUGAAAACUGUGGUAAUUGAAUGCAUUUUGUCUGAAAGCAAUGAAAAAGGAUUUUUGACCAGCAAUUGUUGAUAAAAAUGUUUGUUUGUUUUUUGGUAAGGUUCAGGAAACAGGUGGCGGCUCGGAUCUCUGCCUGUCUAACUGACAUCUCUCAGUGGAUGUCCGCCCACCAUCUGAAAAUCAACCCCGACAAGACUGAACUACUUCUCUUUCCCGGAAAAGAUUCGCU